This 294-nucleotide ribosomal RNA is filed under the name Vibrio cholerae. RNAcentral describes it as "partial 23S ribosomal RNA". It matches the Rfam family "Bacterial large subunit ribosomal RNA", at positions 790 to 1136 of the family's 2925-position model. The record is from RNAcentral. Lineage: Bacteria; Pseudomonadati; Pseudomonadota; Gammaproteobacteria; Vibrionales; Vibrionaceae.
UGAAAAAUUAGCGGAUGACUUGUGGCUAGGGGUGAAAGGCCAAUCAAACUCGGAGAUAGCUGGUUCUCCCCGAAAGCUAUUUAGGUAGCGCCUCGGACGAAUACUACUGGGGGUAGAGCACUGUUAAGGCUAGGGGGUCAUCCCGACUUACCAACCCUUUGCAAACUCCGAAUACCAGUAAGUACUAUCCGGGAGACACACGGCGGGUGCUAACUGCUAAGUGGGAAACGAUGUGGGAAGGCUCAGACAGCUAGGAUGUUGGCUUAGAAGCAGCCAUCAUUUAAAGAAAGCGUA